This 317-nucleotide long non-coding RNA is filed under the name Mytilus galloprovincialis (Mediterranean mussel). Lineage: Eukaryota; Metazoa; Mollusca; Bivalvia; Mytilida; Mytilidae. The record is from RNAcentral.
CUCCCGUUGACCAUUUGACUUUCGAAUUAAACAAAAAUCGUAUACUUAAACGUAAGUAAUACACAUUAACUUGGUCGUUGUAAAAUUGUGUUUUUCUCCCUUUCUCUACUUAGUUCAAAUCAAUUUAUUAUAGCGUAUUCCACGAGCGAAAAAAAAAACCAAUUGUUUUAAACGAAAAGGCCAAAUUUUGUUCGCAUGGGACACAAGAAUACAUUCUGAAAUUUUUGGGCGGGAAUAAUGAUAAUUUGCGGCCGAGAAUUUGAAGGCCACCGAAUAAUUAUUCGUAAUGCACUACGAACGAACAGACCGACGGACGG